UAAAUUAGAUAACAAAAAUAAGAAAUUUUCAGGAAGAAAAGUCGUGUAUGAUUGAAUGUUUUGACUUGGACACUUUGGAAAUUUUGCAUACUUUUCAUUCAACUUUGAUACCCGAACCUUGUGAUUAUGACGAUAAUCAGUAAUUAAGAUUGAAGAGAAGGAAGCGAGGAUUAUGUUCACCCACUACAUUUUGAAAUAUUUUAAAUUUCUAACGAAAAUUACAUAUAAAAUAUAUUGUGAAACAUAAAUAGUUUAAUAAAAAGAAAUUAAGUUAUAGUGUUUUAUGCCUUUAGAUUAAAUUUUUAAAUAAAUCUAAUUAAAACCAUUCUUUAACUUGAAUUUCUUCAGUCUUACUCAGCACCAUGUUUUACAUGGAAAGUAUAAACAACGAUCAAUGUAACUCAUGUUAUUACAGAUUUAUGGGGCAUCCUGUAUGUCGUAGAAUGUAUUUUUUCACGUUUAUUAUGGUUACUAAAUGGUCGCGAGUGAAGGAUUUUCUUGCUGAUGAAUCGAUCGUGGGUUCGCGCCUGACCCAAGGGCUGUCCACGAGGAGUUUUUGAGAUGUUUUUUCACGUUAGCAUGUGGGUUCUCACCUAAAUAGAGGUCAGUUUGCCAUAAACGACCUCCCGGGAGGUACCCCUUUUUGCAAAUUUCUCAUGUGUUGCGUUGCCCAACCGUUUCAUUGUGGGCUCUUUUAAAUAAAUAAUAUAAUUAAUAAUGCAACAUUUAUUAAUUGAUAUAUUUAUUUAUAACAAUUAAAAUGUCUAGGGCCUCCUGUAUGUUGGAGUGGAAUCGUAAGAAUUCUCGACAAUUCUUUAUAAAUUAUCUACUGCACAAUUAAAUUUUAGGGGUCUUUGAAGAGUUUUAACACACUAAACAUGUGAAUGACGGACAAAGUUUUUUUAUAAACUCCUUGGGGUUGGCUUAAAUGGGGUUAGAAAGUGAGAGGGCGGAAGUCUACUACAAAGGAAAGGUUAUAAACGGGAUGAUAUUGGUUCCUACUCAACUGUAGAUUCUAUUCUAGGCAUUUUUUCCAUUUGUUUGAUGCUACUCCAAAAUUAAGAAAAUGCCUAACGAUAUGAAUGGUGUAAUGUAAUAAUUAAAUUUUAUAAUAUAAAUUUAAUAUCUUUCAUAAUCAAUUAACAGACCUCAGAAGGAUAGCGAUAGGCUUUCUUAUUUAGUAUCAGGAGUGUGUCAGUUAUCAUCUCAUAAUUUUGGAAUCUCUGCUUAUCCAAGACCUAGAUCAAAUGGUCCUGUUGCACCUUCUCUAUCUGAGCCUACUUCUAAGAUAAACAGGAUAUCUCCCCAAAAUUAUAUACACAUUUUUUCAGCUCAUAAUUGAGAGGCUUGACUCUGCAACUUACCAAACUUUAAUAUGAAAAGUUUUAUUAAUGUGGUUGUAGAGUAUAAAUGAAUAAAUCUAAGUUUGUUGAUAACCUAA
This is a long non-coding RNA of Centruroides sculpturatus (bark scorpion), 1441 nucleotides long. RefSeq lists it as uncharacterized. NCBI's taxonomy places the organism in Eukaryota, Metazoa, Arthropoda, Arachnida, Scorpiones, Buthidae. The transcript has 2 exons. The record is from RefSeq and is a predicted model, not a curated record.